AGAGCAACAAGUUACAAAAGAAAGGGCACACAAUCUUAGCAACAGAUGCAGAGAACAUUUGGCAAAAUGCAACACACAUUCAUGACUUUUAAAAAAGCCAACAACAGGCAGAAACAAGGCACCUCAUCUGCCUGGCCUCACUGGCAGCACAUGAUCCCAAGAUGGCAGAAACAGGAUGGCAGUGGCAAGGCCUGGUCUGCCGAGCUGCUCCUGAAGGCACUGGCUCUGAGGCCAGCAGAGGCAGUAUCUGAGCCCACAGCAGUGACAUUUGACAUGCAGUGGUGCAUUCCUUCUCCUAGAACGUAGGACCUGGGGACAAAUUUACCUGUAUGCUCACUUGCACAUCUCAAGGAAGGACCAAUAAGCAAUGCCAGAUGAGUCUGGGCAAAGACCAGCAAAGAGCACUAGCACUUCACCUGUAUCAUCUGGAGGCCCCUUGUGAAGUUCUACCUCUACUUCACCCAGUUCAAGGCCAAGGUGCGAGGCACUGAGAUUGAGUAGUCAUGGCCUACUCAAAAGCUGCAUUUAAAAGAGAAAGCGAUGUUUUCCUGAAAAAAUGAGGAAUUUGAAAUGAGCAAAACAACAGUGGCCCACAGGCCCAGUGCCUUCAAGGUCGAGCUGUCCAAGCUGGUGAUUGUGGCCAAGACAGCCUGCAACAAACUAUUCUGGAGUGCUGGCCAGUGACCAGUCUCUUGGGGACUCUUGGUGUCUUCCUAUACCAGUGGCCCUGCUCAGCGGGCAAGUAUGUGCAGAGAAGCCACUGCCCACCUCCCAUCACAGCCCUGCUUCUCACCUUAACACGAGGUGGACCAAGGACAACCUGCCCUUCUGAAGCCAGCCUGGGUCUUUGAGGGACUGGCCAGGUGCUGGGAGCCCCCAGGACUCAUCCCCACCGUCACUAACAGGCCCUCCUUUGAGUGGAACUGGGAAGACACCAAAUGUUCUUUCAUAUUUAAAUAAAUAACUGAGAAAAGAAAAUAGCCACCCAUCCAGGCCUUCCUGGGGUCUCUGUGAGGCUCCUGAUGGGACCCUGCAUACUGGGCAGCUGUCUGGGACUUGCUCCUGCAGAUGGGGCAGCUCCCCUCCUCAGUUCCAAAUGGCAAGAAGUCACCCACAAGUCAACACCCAACAGUCAGCAUCUAUGGCAAGUGCCUGAGGGUAGAUGUGCUGUCCCUACUUGGUGCUUGUUUUUUUUUUUCUUCAGUACUGGGGAUAGAACUCAGGACCUUGUGCUUGCCAGGCAGGUAUAGUGCCACUGAGCUACACACCUGGCGGUUUUGUUUUUUGAAGUUGGAUUGUGGCAGAACAGCUUUAAAAACCAAACCACAGCCAGGCUCAGUGGUACAUGCCUGUCAUCCCUGCUACUCAAGAGGCUGAGGCAAGCCUGGCAAUUUAGUGAGACCGUAUGUCAAAAUAAACAAAAAGGGCCAGUGAUGUAGCUCAGUAUGAAGGGUCUGGGUUCCAUCCCCAAUAGUACUGGAAAAACAAGCCCCACUCUGAGAAGGCAAGAAGUGGAGAAGGUGGCAGCCAGCACAUCCUCCCAGUUCCACGUCAUGAUAAAGAGGGGCAUCACUUUUAUUUAAAUAAUUCUCGUGCUCUUUGUUUUGUUUUUAUUUUUAAAUUGAAUCUCAGAUUUACAAAAGAGUCUGAGCAGACUGGAUGGCCCACCAGGGGAUAAGGAAAAUUACAUACAUUGGUGAUCCAGCCAGCACAGUUGAAGGUGCAAAGGUUCACCUGGGGCCAGGGCUUCUGGGACAUCAGAAUGUCAGUUGGUUCUUCAUAUCCUUUAGACAUCUCAUGUAGAUUUCUUGCUAGGAAGACAUUCACACUUCUGGCCCUUUCUUUUCCACAGAACUGCAUAACACAUUAUACCCCAAGUUACUCUUCACUCUAAAUGGCAUGAUAUAUGUGUACUGUGAAAAUUUCCAUUGAAGAUAGGCAAGCAUUCCAGUGACUCCAGACUCCAUUCUUCAUAUCUGUUUGAUAUCCAAAGAAUGAAAGACCUAGCUGCUUGCAGUUAGAAACAGCACUUUAUUUAGGGCAUAACUUUGGGUUACAACAACCCAUCCCAUAUUUUUCUACUGUAUUUUUGUACUUUAGCAUACUAGUAAAGGCUGUGCAUCUCUGUACUUGCAGCAGGGUAUACAGGAAGCAAUUUUGACAUUUACCCACUUGGUAUGAGGAACAGCAAGGUGUGUGCACGUGUGAAGAAGUGUGAAACCAGGGGCCAGGGAUUUAGCUCAGUGGUUUCACCACCUGCUGCAUAAGCACAAGGACCUGAGUUCGAUCCCCAGUACAAAAAAAAAAAAUGUGAAACCAGGAUUUUUACCCACUUAAUGCUUUAUCCGGUUUUGCAUACCUGAGCAUCACAGGGGGUAAAAUAUACCCACACCACUCUACUGUUGUGUAAACAUGUAUCUUACCAUAAUAGAAUGUGGGUGUGACUCUUAGUAGCUGUGCCUGGGGAAAGCAAAAACCCAUUUGUGCAUUCACCCACUUGGCAGACAAAUGGCAAGGUAUGUACAGGGACUCCAAAGCAGCAACAGAGAUAGGCCAAUUCAGUACAAUGGCACAGGAAAAACCAGAUUUGCAAGUUUUACAAGAGGUCAAAAGCAAAUCAUCAGAUUAUUCAUGCAUGGAUGAUGAAGAUGGUAGUGAUACAGGAAAUAAUAUUGGAAAUGAAAUAUAAAAUAUUAUAUCUCCCAACCUGUUAGCUGUAUGAUAUGCUGAGCACUUGCUCUCUAAAAAUCAAAGAAUGAAUUCUAGGAACAAUGGAGGUUAAGAGUAUGAACAUAUUGAUAGGAAGGCUCUGAGGGGCAGGAGGGGGACCCGAGUGGGUAUCCUGGGGACCCCACUUUACAGAGGAGUUUUAUAGAGUGAUGCUCAUGUGGGUACAGUGGGGCCAUAUCCAUGAUCAUCCAAUAAGGUUACAAGUAUAGUCACUUAAAUAAUAUUGCUCCAAUUGGGAAACAAGUCACGUAACAAAACGGAUGGAGAGAACAGGAUUUUCUUAGGAAAUGGUGGAUCCAGAGGUUUUUGGUCACCCACUGGGGUGGCUGAUGUCUAUCUAGACUUCAUUAGGCCCAGUGUUUGUUCUUUGAGGAAGUAGGCAGGUCUGGUCAUCUUGUCUUUAUCUUGAAGCCAGGUUUCCAG
Heterocephalus glaber (naked mole-rat) is the source of this 3153-nucleotide long non-coding RNA. The record is from Ensembl. NCBI's taxonomy places the organism in Eukaryota, Metazoa, Chordata, Mammalia, Rodentia, Bathyergidae.